GAUGAACGCUGGCGGCGUGCUUAACACAUGCAAGUCGAACGAAGCAAUUUUCUACGAUCCCUUCGGGGUGACGGAUUAUUGACUGAGUGGCGGACGGGUGAGUAACGCGUGGGUAACCUACCUUGUACAGGGGGACAACAGUUGGAAACGACUGCUAAUACCGCAUAAGCGCACAGCAUCGCAUGAUGCAGUGUGAAAAGUUUUUUCGGUACAAGAUGGACCCGCGUCUGAUUAGCUAGUUGGUGAGGUAACGGCCCACCAAGGCGACGAUCAGUAGCCGACCUGAGAGGGUGACCGGCCACAUUGGGACUGAGACACGGCCCAAACUCCUACGGGAGGCAGCAGUGGGGAAUAUUGCACAAUGGGCGAAAGCCUGAUGCAGCGACGCCGCGUGAGCGAAGAAGUAUUUCGGUAUGUAAAGCUCUAUCAGCAGGGAAGAUAAUGACGUAC
RNAcentral lists this ribosomal RNA (450 nucleotides) under bacterium AE2001. RNAcentral's name for it is "bacterial SSU rRNA". It matches the Rfam family "Bacterial small subunit ribosomal RNA", at positions 28 to 459 of the family's 1533-position model. The record is from RNAcentral.